Molecule: long non-coding RNA, 699 nt
Organism: Formica exsecta
Lineage: Eukaryota; Metazoa; Arthropoda; Insecta; Hymenoptera; Formicidae
Exons: 2
Source: RefSeq, a predicted model, not a curated record
CAUUGUUAUGACAAUAUAUUACUUGUUUGAGACUCAUAUACUGUGUAAUGUUAGAUAUAUGUAAUUAUAUUGCACGACAAAUACCGCGUGAUAAUUUUCCACUUUUCCAGUUCGAAGAUCAAACACGAGUACUAAUUUUCUGCAAAGUACAUCACACAAAUAUCUGACUAUAUAUGUUAGGCUUGGAAAAUUAAAUUUCAAAUUAUUGGAUAGCUAUGUUUUAGAGAUUGGCAAUAUUCAUUAGUCAACGCGAUGAUUCGCAUCAAAAUGCGUUCUUAAUAAUAAAAAAGCAGAUGGAGAAUGAAAAAGUUCCGUAAGUGUUAAAUAAAUCUACGAAUCAUACGAUGAUGAUCCAUGAUCGUGGGCUGGACUCGGCGGCGUCGAUGGAUUUGAGCUGUUGUUCGAAGCUAUCGAAUGUCUAGGGCUGCCUCCAGAUGGAUGCUCCUGUAUAUAAAAAAUGCAUGUAUAUAUGAAAAGUAUCUAGCUGUAAUUUUAGACAGCGUUUCCGAGGUUUAUAUCCUAAUUUUAUAAAUGUAUUCUAUAGAUUUUUGUUCUUUGUAACUAAACUUUUUGCACUUCUUGUUUUUUCUCUCCAAAUUCUAAAUAUAUUUCUAUCUCAUUUUUAGCAUACACAAGUGCAAGAAAUUCAGUAUAAAGACUUUCAGUAUAAAACCUUAUAUUAAAUAUAAAUAGUAUAAA